ACGCUCGACACCUACGGGAAGCAGCAGUCGGGAAUAUUGCGCAAUGGAGGAAACUCUGACGCAGUGACGCCGCGUGCAGGAAGAAGGUUUUCGGAUUGUAAACUGCUUUAGACAGGGAAGAAAGAAAUGACAGUACCUGUAGAAUAAGCUCCGGCUAACUACGUGCCCGCAGCCGCGGUAAUCUGAGCGGGCUGGCAAGGC
Molecule: ribosomal RNA, 201 nt
Filed under: uncultured bacterium
Lineage: Bacteria
Description: partial 16S ribosomal RNA
Rfam family: Bacterial small subunit ribosomal RNA
Source: RNAcentral